GUAUAAAAAGCGAAAAAUUUGCAUACGGUUUCGGCCCGUAAGUUAGAGGUGAAAUUCCUUUUUUAUACUCAA
RNAcentral lists this transfer RNA (72 nucleotides) under Potamopyrgus antipodarum. RNAcentral describes it as "tRNA-Arg". The record is from RNAcentral. RNAcentral also lists the same sequence under 1 other name. Lineage: Eukaryota; Metazoa; Mollusca; Gastropoda; Littorinimorpha; Tateidae.